AAUCAACGCUGGCGGCGCGCUUAACACAUGCAAGUCGAGCGAGAAAGGGGAGCAAUCCCUGAGUACAGCGGCGUACGGGUGAGUAACACGUGGGUGAUCUACCUUCUAGUGUGGAAUAACCCUGGGAAACCGGGCUAAUACCGCAUAAGCCUGUGAAGGGAAAGCAGCAAUGCGCUGGAAGAGGAGCCCGCGGCCGAUUAGCUAGUUGUGAGGUAACGCCACCAAGGCGAUGAUCGGUAGCCGGCCUGAGAGGGCACACGGCCACACUGGCACUGAACACGGGCCAGACUCCUACGGGAGGCAGCAGUGGGGAAUCUUGCACAA
RNAcentral lists this ribosomal RNA (324 nucleotides) under uncultured bacterium. RNAcentral describes it as "bacterial SSU rRNA". It matches the Rfam family "Bacterial small subunit ribosomal RNA", at positions 32 to 371 of the family's 1533-position model. The record is from RNAcentral.